RNAcentral lists this unclassified non-coding RNA (281 nucleotides) under plant metagenome. RNAcentral's name for it is "partial contains small subunit ribosomal RNA and internal transcribed spacer 1". The stretch from base 1 to 50 matches the Rfam family "Eukaryotic small subunit ribosomal RNA", at positions 1778 to 1831 of the family's 1831-position model. The record is from RNAcentral.
GGAAGUAAAAGAACAAGGUUUCCGUAGGUGAACCUGCGGAAGGAUCAUUAUCGAGUUUUGACUGGGUUGUAGCUGGCCUUCCGAGGCAUGUGCACGCCCUGCUCAUCCACUCUACACCUGUGCACUUACUGUGGGUAUCAGAUCGUGAAGCGUGCUCUUUUACCGGAGCUUGUGAAGCGUGUCUGUGCCUGCGUUUAUCACAAACACUAUAAAGUAUCAGAAUGUGUAUUACGAUGUAACGCAUCUAUAUACAACUUUCAGCAACGCAUCUCUUGGCUCUC